GACGAACGCUGGCGGCGUGCUUAACACAUGCAAGUCGAACGGAAAGGCCCCUUUGGGGGUACUCGAGUGGCGAACGGGUGAGUAACACGUGAGUAACCUGCCCUUGACUUCGGGAUAACUUCAGGAAACUGGGGCUAAUACCGGAUAGGAAUCCUUGCUGCAUGGUGGGGGUUGGAAAGCUUCGGCGGUUUUGGAUGGACUCGCGGCUUAUCAGCUUGUUGGUGGGGUAGUGGCUUACCAAGGCUUUGACGGGUAGCCGGCCUGAGAGGGCGACCGGCCACAUUGGGCCUGAGCUACGGCCCAGACUCCUACGGGAGGCAGCAGUGGGGAAUAUUGCACAAUGGGCGGAAGCCUGAUGCAGCAACGCCGCGUGCGGGAUGACGGCCUUCGGGUUGUAAACCGCUUUCAGCAGGGGCGAAGCUUGUGGUGACGGUACCUGCAGAAGAAGCACCGGCUAACUACGUG
RNAcentral lists this ribosomal RNA (465 nucleotides) under uncultured bacterium. Its description in RNAcentral is "partial 16S ribosomal RNA". It matches the Rfam family "Bacterial small subunit ribosomal RNA", at positions 28 to 507 of the family's 1533-position model. The record is from RNAcentral.